GCAAGGAGCUGAUAGACCUUUAUGGUUUGCAUCUAAACAAAGCCUUUCAUACUUGGAUGGCAGGUAAAUGUUAACAGAUGCAAUCAUACAUGUAAUUUAGGGCCAUCUCUAUGAGUGAUCUGAUUUUUCUGUUUAACAGCCUUCCAGGUGAUUAUGGAUUUGACCCCUUGGGACUCUCAGACCCUGAAGGUCCAGGAGGGUUCAUCGAGCCUAAAUGGCUAGCCUACGGUGAGAUCAUCAACGGGCGUUAUGCUAUGUUGGGUGCAGUAGGUGCGAUUGCCCCUGAAAUACUUGGGAAGGCCGGUCUUAUCCCAGCAGAAACAGCCCUCCCUUGGUUUAGAACCGGUGUGAUCCCACCAGCAGGAACAUACAGCUAUUGGGCAGACCCUUACACUUUGUUUGUGUUCGAGAUGGCACUCAUGGGAUUUGCAGAGCACAGAAGGUUCCAAGACUGGGCCAAACCAGGUUCGAUGGGGAAACAAUAUUUCUUGGGGUUCGAGAAGUACCUUGGAGGGUCUGGUGAGCCGGCAUACCCUGGAGGACCACUGUUUAACCCACUUGGUUUUGGGAAAGAUGAGAAGUCAUUGAAGGAUUUGAAGCUGAAAGAAGUGAAGAAUGGGAGAUUGGCAAUGUUGGCAAUCUUGGGUUACUUCAUACAAGGGCUCGUGACAGGUGUAGGACCAUACCAGAACCUGUUGGAUCACUUGGCUGACCCUUUCAACAACAAUGUCUUGACUAACCUCAAGUUCCAUUAGAUGAAAGUGCCUAUAUUUGUUCCAUGGAACUAUCCCCCCGG
This 796-nucleotide long non-coding RNA is filed under the name Gossypium barbadense (sea-island cotton). Its description in RNAcentral is "long non-coding RNA (GBAR_LNC020663)". Lineage: Eukaryota; Viridiplantae; Streptophyta; Magnoliopsida; Malvales; Malvaceae. The record is from RNAcentral.